Molecule: ribosomal RNA, 592 nt
Filed under: uncultured bacterium
Lineage: Bacteria
Description: bacterial SSU rRNA
Rfam family: Bacterial small subunit ribosomal RNA
Source: RNAcentral
CCUACGGGAGGCAGCAGUGGGGAAUCUUGCACAAUGGAGGAAACUCUGAUGCAGCGAUGCCGCGUGAGUGAAGAAGGCCUUUGGGUUGUAAAGCUCUUUUGUAGGGGAAGAUAAUGACUGUACCCUAAGAAUAAGGUCCGGCUAACUUCGUGCCAGCAGCCGCGGUAAUACGAAGGGACCUAGCGUAGUUCGGAAUUACUGGGCGUAAAGCGCGCGUAGGCCGUUGAGUUAGUUAAUUGUGAAAUCCCAAAGCUUAACUUUGGAACUGCAAUUAAAACUGCUCGACUAGAGUUUGAUAGAGGAAAGCGGAAUACAUAGUGUAGAGGUGAAAUUCGUAGAUAUUAUGUAGAACACCAGUUGCGAAGGCGGCUUUCUGGAUCAACACUGACGCUGAGGCGCGAAAGUAUGGGUAGCAAAGAGGAUUAGAUACCCUCGUAGUCCAUACCAUAAACGAUGAUUGCUAGAUGUUGGAAAUUUAUUUUCAGUAUCGCAGCUAACGCAUUAAGCAAUCCGCCUGGGGAGUACGACCGCAAGGUUAAAACUCAAAAGAUAGUAGACGUGNGAGAGACGACGACGACGACGACGAGGAGAG